This 253-nucleotide ribosomal RNA is filed under the name uncultured bacterium. Its description in RNAcentral is "partial 16S ribosomal RNA". It matches the Rfam family "Bacterial small subunit ribosomal RNA", at positions 524 to 776 of the family's 1533-position model. The record is from RNAcentral.
UACGUAGGGGGCAAGCGUUGUCCGGAUUUAUUGGGCGUAAAGAGCGUGUAGGCGGCCAUACAGGUCAGCUGUGAAAACUCGAGGCUCAACCUCGAGACGUCGGUUGAAACCGUAUGGCUAGAGUCCGGAAGAGGAGAGUGGAAUUCCCGGUGUAGCGGUGAAAUGCGCAGAUAUCGGGAAGAACACCCGUGGCGAAGGCGGCUCUCUGGGACGGGACCGACGCUGAGACGCGAAAGCGUGGGGAGCGAACAGG